UACGAAGGUGGCAAGCGUUACUCGGAAUUACUAGGCGUAAAGGGCAGGUAGGUGGUUCGGUUAGUCUGUUGUGGAAGCUCCCGGCUUAACUGGGAGAGGUCAACGGAUACUGCCGGGCUUGAGUGUAGGAGAGGGUACUGGAAUUCCCGGUGUAGCGGUGAAAUGCGCAGAGAUCGGGAGGAACACCAAUGGCGAAAGCAGGUACCUGGACUAUUACUGACACUAAGCUGCGAAAGCUAGGGGAGCAAACAGG
This 253-nucleotide ribosomal RNA is filed under the name uncultured bacterium. Its description in RNAcentral is "partial 16S ribosomal RNA". It matches the Rfam family "Bacterial small subunit ribosomal RNA", at positions 524 to 776 of the family's 1533-position model. The record is from RNAcentral.